GACGUAGGGGGCCAGCGUUGUUCGGAAUUACUGGGUGUAAAGGGUUCGUAGGCGGUGUGGCAAGUCGGGAGUGAAAUCUCUGGGCUUAACCCAGGGGCUGCUUCCGAAACUGCCGUGCUAGAGUGUGGGAGAGGCGCGUGGAAUUGCAGGUGUAGCGGUGAAAUGCGUAGAUAUCUGCAGGAACACCCGUGGCGAAAGCGGCGCGCUGGACCACUACUGACGCUGAGGAACGAAAGCUAGGGGAGCAAACAGG
This 253-nucleotide ribosomal RNA is filed under the name uncultured bacterium. RNAcentral describes it as "partial 16S ribosomal RNA". It matches the Rfam family "Bacterial small subunit ribosomal RNA", at positions 524 to 776 of the family's 1533-position model. The record is from RNAcentral.